This 342-nucleotide long non-coding RNA is filed under the name Nicotiana benthamiana. RNAcentral describes it as "long non-coding RNA (NBEN_LNC003287)". The record is from RNAcentral. Lineage: Eukaryota; Viridiplantae; Streptophyta; Magnoliopsida; Solanales; Solanaceae.
UCUCUUUCUCUCUCUAUAACAAAUGCUCCUCAUUCUCUCUAGAACCUUCUGGUUCUUUCUUCUCCGAUGAACUCGUCGCCUUUCCGACCAUACCCCUCCCUCACUUCUCUCGAUCUCCAGUCGCUAUGGAACCCUCAUCAUCGUUGUUCUCAUAUGAAGCACGAAGCCCAAAGACCUCCGCCAUGAAAUACGAUCGCUGAAGGAUUUGCUUGGGUCCUUCGCCGGCUUUUCUCUGGUGGUUUUUGUCCGAUGAUGCCUUCUAUAGCAUUAUAUACGAGUUUCACGGCCAUGUUCUUCGUUUUCCUUAAUUUGUUUGCAAAUCCUAAUUUUUCUACUUGAACC